RNAcentral lists this long non-coding RNA (277 nucleotides) under Elaeis guineensis (African oil palm). Its description in RNAcentral is "long non-coding RNA (EGUI_LNC021083)". The record is from RNAcentral. Lineage: Eukaryota; Viridiplantae; Streptophyta; Magnoliopsida; Arecales; Arecaceae.
GGCUUUCAGUCCAAGUUUCUAUCCAUAGCGGUGGUAGCCUCUUGACGAAUAGCAAGUGGUUAUCCUAGCAACCAUACCUUAUGUGGAUUUCUUGAAUUUUAGGAAAAUUUAGUACUUAACUUGUUUAAUGGCUAUAAUUCUUGGACAUAUUUUACUAGCUUCCAAGAAUAUAUCUUUCAUGCGAAAGUAUGAUUGAUCUUCUUUUGCUACAUUGACCAUUCGAUUGCACUCUGCAUAGCUCUCAAAGAACUCCCAGCUUCUUAACUCAUCCAUCUGC